RNAcentral lists this long non-coding RNA (3497 nucleotides) under Setaria italica (foxtail millet). RNAcentral describes it as "long non-coding RNA (SITA_LNC004833)". Lineage: Eukaryota; Viridiplantae; Streptophyta; Magnoliopsida; Poales; Poaceae. The record is from RNAcentral.
CGGCCUUUGCGCCCGCGGUGGGGUCGAUGCUUGGACGGAGGCCGGCCGGAUGCGCCGAGGAAGCAGGCUGUUCGGAGUCGAAUUCCGCCGACGGCGACACGGGUGGAUGAUGGCAACCAGUCCAAGGGGAGGGAGAGGGAAAGCUAAGACGAAGAAGAGGGACGGAGCUGGAAGCAAGCCGCCCGGGGGAGCAGCUAGGCUCGAGCACUGUGGGCAAUGGAUGGAUGGAUCGGCGCUGUCACUGACCUGACCAGGCGCGCGUGACGGCGACGCCGGCGAUGGAUCCAUCAUCCACCUGCAGCUGGUACAGUACUUGUGGGCACUCCAGAAUUGCAGAUCCAUCCAUCGCUAUAGCCAUAGCCUGCCCUGGAGGCUGGACGUACGCCGUCUUCUCUAGCGCUUGAAUACAUCCGGUCCAGGGUGUCCAUCCACCAAGGGCGCGUUUGGCAGACCGCGUGGAGGUUGGCCCAUGCUCAGCUGGUACAACUAGCUGUGUUUGCUAGUCUGGUUGGCCUCCCGGACUAGGUCCGUGCAAAAACGACCCGCCAGCUUGCAUCGCGUGGAACGCAAAAGCCGGACGUUUCACGCGGUGCAAACCCACACAAGCGCGUUUUCAUGCACGCAGAGGGAAGCGCGGGAGAUGAACGCGGCCUGACGCCAUUAUUUGGGCUGGCUAGGGUUACCAUCGCCGGUAUAUAGCGGUGGUCUCCCGGGCACGUCGCCCUCCUCCCCGCAGACGCGCCGCCUCCACCGACUCCUCCACUCCUCUCUCCUGUCUCCCUUUCGCACUCGACUCCUUCACUCCUCUCCUCUCCUCUCAUUCUGGUGACUUUAGGGCGGAGGCGACAUCGCGACUGGUGGCGGGACGCCUGAUCCGGAGGUGUCCGUGGUCGCCUGCACCGGCGGCCACGGGUACUUCUUCACCGGCGAGCGCGGGUACUUCUUCACCGGCGAGCGACGGGUCUCUGUUAGCAAUGAACAUUGGAUCCAUGCUUCGUCUUCAUCACUGAAUAGAUCUGCUACCUCUUCGUCCCCGGCAACUUGAGCAACAUUUUCGUCCCUGGCGUGACCUGCUUCUUCCUCUCCACCGAGCAGAUCUGCGUCGUCUACUUAUUGUUCCAAGCGUCCCUCAGCUCAUCCACCGGCACGCGCUACUUCCUCAUCUUCCCCACGAUGGUCGUUUUCAUCUUCGCGGAGGUAUGUCCCGGAUCCACUAUCCUCUUGCAGUUAGGAUGGAGGUUCAUCUUGUUGUUCGAUCUUUUAUGAUUUGUUGGGUGGAAUCCCUCGGGUUAGGGUUCCCGCAGAGUGGAUCUGAUAUUACGGUUUCUUUAUGCGGUUAGUGGGGUAUCCUCGUCGGAUCUGCAUGUCUAUUUGAUGCACUGUCCUAGCUUCUAUGUCUUAGCUUGUUGUUUAUAGUCGAUUCAUGAGGUUACUUAUCGUUCAUGUGUAGUUACUGCGUGGAUGUGGACAUGUUGCCAUGAACCUAUCUCUAAUUUCGGUCUGUGUUGCUGACGAGGAGCCUGCCUGGGGCUAAUAUGGUUGAUCUGUGAUGUAGUAGCUACUACUGCCUUCUAGCUCAGGGAAAAUAGUUGAGCAUGUCUCCAUCCCUAACCAGUCCUUUCUUUUGCACAGAUCUUUAUAUACGUUGGUCUGACCUAUUAGGGUGUAGCCUAACUUGCACUUGCCCUUUUGUGUUAAUUUUUGGAUUCACAUGGGGUGGCUAAUUACUAAUUAAGUUCUAUGGCAGCAUGGCAAGGCUAAGAACAUUGGAACUAACUAUUUGUAAGGAAUUGAAUGGUAAGUAAGUAUUGUAAUAUGAUGAUCUAGUACUGCUAUAUAACUGUGAUGCUUGUGAUGUGAUGCUAUGUAUGCAUGUUUACGUCAGAUGCCUAUUAGCUUUACUUUAGCAAUUUGCCAUCUUGACAUUUUCCCGAUCCGCUUUACUUUGCCAUGAUCUUAGUCUGUUCUUUACCAUGUUAACAUGUUACUACUGUUGUUUAACUUGAUAUUUACCUUGGUGAGAGUUCCUGCUGUUACUUACCUACUUGGUUGCCAUGUUAAGUUGUGAUCAUGUUCCUUCUGUUAUUGAAUUAUGUGUUGAACUUGAUACCAUUUUCCCGUUAUUCUUCACCUAUUUCACUUGUUACCUUGUUGCUGCUGUUGUUUCCCUCUUUCUUUGGCCUAUGAUGAUUACUACUGGGUUGGGCAACGAUGAAGUGGCAUUUCUAUUAUGGUUCUUGUACGUGUUGUUUUUUGUUUGGUGUCUUUCAACUUUAUUGCUUUUGUUCUACUCUUUCUUUCUACUCUUAUGCUGCCACUUUGGAGUCCACCUGUCUAUAUGGCAGUUUGUGGAUUUGACUUAUGAUCUAAGACCCGUCAUAUUUAUUUCUAUGCCUGUGAUGCACUUGUACUGAGGCAAUCUCAUGUUGGCUGAUGUUCUGUUAUGUUUGUUUAUCUGGAGAUGAUAACCUUAGUUAUUUGUGCUUUGACCCAACACAUUCUUGAUCUGACUUUGUGGUUUUUGGUGUUAUGGGUGUGAGGCCUUAAUAACCUCAGUUGACCUAAUUUCGUGUCAAAAUUCUAGUUUUGUGGUUCUAAUUUCGCUACUUCAAGUCAUUUGUGCAAGUGUAUAUUAUUCCUUGUUGGUUCACAUGCAAUUGUCAUGCAACAUACCUCUUAAUGAUGUUGCCGUACUUGUUAAUUACUUUCUCAAACUGAUGUUAUUAGCUUUCUAUGUAAAUUUUUGUUAUAUUUGAACUGAUAAACUUCCUAAUUAGGUCUUUCCAAUAAGAGUUUAUGCAUUCAUCCUUUGUUCUCUACAUUUCUGGGCGCCUGUGUCUGGGUGGUAAACGGUGAGGGCACUUGUCCGCUGUGCACGCCACCAAACGCUAUCUUUAGAUGGCAGUUUGGGGUAGUUAUGAAGGGCGCACAGCCAGCCCAUCAUAACAAACACAAUCCCAACCCAGUCAGCACCAUAGGGUGCAGAUUUACCAAUCAACAUUUCUGCACCCUAUAAGCCUGGCCCGUCUGCCUCGGGCCUAGCUCACGGGUCCGACUGAGCCUAACGCGCCCAAUGGUCCACCGUCCAUGGCCGACGAUCACUGAUUGAUCGAUCGUCGUCCCAGCAGCGCGUACGACUCAGAUGUCAUAUCCCUCUUGUUCUCCCGUCGGUCGAGCCGGAACAGUGAUCCUUCCUUCGAUUGGGCAUGCUCAAGCAUGUGUGAUUGAUAUAAUGCUGUACUUAGCAGCUGGCUGCUACAGUGCUAAUGUGCUAUAGUGCGAGCAAUAAGCGUGUGUAAUGUGUUCGUGCACGUGGACGCUUUACUGGUGCUCGAUUAGCUCUGCUCCCAGAGCGCGAUGAAUAGGCGAUGCAUGACUGUCAGCAAUCAGCAUGCGCAACUGUUGCUUUCAUUCAGAGAUGCCUGCCUGCCUGACUGACUGACUUACGAUGUUGUGUCGGCUGCAGCCUCGGACUUUCUGCCUCGCUCCCUGCCAUG